CUGAAGCCGUUUUGUCAGUGUAGUUUUACACUCUUCGGAUAAUGAUCCCGUACCACUCUCGAGAACAGUCAACAGACAGGAAAAUUGUUUUCCGUGUGCA
Molecule: long non-coding RNA, 100 nt
Organism: Limulus polyphemus (Atlantic horseshoe crab)
Lineage: Eukaryota; Metazoa; Arthropoda; Merostomata; Xiphosura; Limulidae
Exons: 3
Source: RefSeq, a predicted model, not a curated record